RNAcentral lists this long non-coding RNA (272 nucleotides) under Lathyrus oleraceus (garden pea). Its description in RNAcentral is "Pisum sativum (pea) long non-coding RNA (PSAT_LNC021192)". The record is from RNAcentral. Lineage: Eukaryota; Viridiplantae; Streptophyta; Magnoliopsida; Fabales; Fabaceae.
GAUAAUAUGUCAUGGGUAGUGAUAGACCUUUAAUUUACCUUUGAAUUGGAUGAGUAUGGUGAAUUUGUGAAAAUGAUUGAUGAAUGGAAUUGGAUGAUAAAUCGAAGCAAAUCCGUAGAAAUUAGAUGGAAUAGUGUUAGGAUUUUGUGAGAUGGAACAGGAUAUGAAGUGCAUAAGACGAUAGGAGUGAUUUUGUGUAAGAAUUGAACCGUGGAAGGUUAGAUCGAAUAGAACUCGUAGCAGAAAAGCCAUUGCAGAUCUGAGAAUGCUGG